RNAcentral lists this ribosomal RNA (468 nucleotides) under uncultured bacterium. RNAcentral's name for it is "partial 16S ribosomal RNA". It matches the Rfam family "Bacterial small subunit ribosomal RNA", at positions 28 to 507 of the family's 1533-position model. The record is from RNAcentral.
GACGAACGCUGGCGGCGUGCUUAACACAUGCAAGUCGAACGGAAAGGCCCUGCUUUUGUGGGGUGCUCGAGUGGCGAACGGGUGAGUAACACGUGAGUAACCUGCCCUUGACUUUGGGAUAACUUCAGGAAACUGGGGCUAAUACCGGAUAGGAGCUCCUGCUGCAUGGUGGGGGUUGGAAAGUUUCGGCGGUUGGGGAUGGACUCGCGGCUUAUCAGCUUGUUGGUGGGGUAGUGGCUUACCAAGGCUUUGACGGGUAGCCGGCCUGCGAGGGUGACCGGCCACAUUGGGACUGAGAUACGGCCCAGACUCCUACGGGAGGCAGCAGUGGGGAAUAUUGCACGAUGGGCGGAAGCCUGAUGCAGCAACGCCGCGUGCGGGAUGACGGCCUUCGGGUUGUAAACCGCUUUCGCCUGUGACGAAGCGUGAGUGACGGUAAUGGGUAAAGAAGCACCGGCUAACUACGUG